UUGACCUCGGAUCAGGUAGGGAUACCCGCUGAACUUAAGCAUAUCAAUAAGCGGAGGAAAAGAAACCAACCGGGAUUGCCUCAGUAACGGCGAGUGAAGCGGCAAGAGCUCAAAUUUGAAAGCUGGCCCCUUCGGGGUCCGCGUUGUAAUUUGCAGAGGAUGCUUCGGGUGCGGCCCCUGUCUAAGUGCCCUGGAACGGGCCGUCAGAGAGGGUGAGAAUCCCGUCUUGGGCAGGGUGCCCGUGCCCGUGUGAAGCUCCUUCGACGAGUCGAGUUGUUUGGGAAUGCAGCUCUAAAUGGGUGGUAAAUUUCAUCUAAAGCUAAAUACCGGCCGGAGACCGAUAGCGCACAAGUAGAGUGAUCGAAAGAUGAAAAGCACUUUGAAAAGAGAGUUAAACAGCACGUGAAAUUGUUGAAAGGGAAGCGCUUGCGACCAGACUCGGCCUCGGGGUUCAGCCAGCACUCGUGCUGGUGUACUUCCCCGGGGGCGGGCCAGCGUCGGUUUGGGCGGCCGGUCAAAGGCCCCAGGAAUGUAUCGCCCUCCGGGGUUGUCUUAUAGCCUGGGGUGCAAUGCGGCCAGCCCGGACCGAGGAACGCGCUUCGGCACGGACGCUGGCGUAAUGGUCGCAAACGACC
Molecule: ribosomal RNA, 635 nt
Filed under: Aspergillus recurvatus
Lineage: Eukaryota; Fungi; Ascomycota; Eurotiomycetes; Eurotiales; Aspergillaceae
Description: eukaryotic LSU rRNA
Rfam family: Eukaryotic large subunit ribosomal RNA
Source: RNAcentral